RNAcentral lists this ribosomal RNA (494 nucleotides) under uncultured Latescibacterota bacterium. Its description in RNAcentral is "bacterial SSU rRNA". It matches the Rfam family "Bacterial small subunit ribosomal RNA", at positions 8 to 475 of the family's 1533-position model. The record is from RNAcentral. Lineage: Bacteria; Pseudomonadati; Candidatus Latescibacterota.
AGAGUUUGAUCAUGGCUCAGAACGAACACUGGCGGCGUGGAUUAGGCAUGCAAGUCGAACGAGAAAGCUCUCUUCGGAGAGUAAGUACAGUGGCGAACGGGUGAGUAACGGGUGGAAAACCUGCCCUUCAAUGGGGGAUAACAGUUUUAACGAGCUGCUAAUACCGCAUACGACCUCUUUACUGCAUGGUAGAGAGAUGAAAGAUGGCCUCUAUUUAUAAGCUGUCGUUGAAGGAUGGUUCCGCCUCCCAUUAGCUAGUUGGUGGGGUAAUGGCCUACCAAGGCGACGAUGGGUAGCCGGCCUGAGAGGGUGUCCGGCCACACUGGGACUGAGAUACGGCCUAGACUCCUACGGGAGGCAGCAGUCGAGAAGCUUCCGCAAUGGGGGAAACCCUGACGGAGCGACGCCGCGUGAACGAAGAAGGUCCUUUGGAUUGUAAAGUUCUGUCAGAUUGGGAAGAAAACUGUACGGUUAAUACCCGUACAGCNGGACGG